Molecule: unclassified non-coding RNA, 231 nt
Filed under: plant metagenome
Description: partial contains small subunit ribosomal RNA, internal transcribed spacer 1, and 5.8S ribosomal RNA
Source: RNAcentral
UCUCCGUUGGUGAACCAGCGGAGGGAUCAUUACAGAGUUGCAAAACUCCCAAACCAUUGUGAACGUUACCUAUCCCGUUGCUUCGGCGGGCGGCCCGGGCCCCGCGCCCGGCGCCCCCCGGCCCCCCGUGGGCGCCCGUCGGAGGUAAACCAAACCCUUGAAUUGCAUGGCCUCUCUGAGUCUUCUGUACUGAAUAAGUCAAAACUUUCAACAACGGAUCUCUUGGUUCCG